RNAcentral lists this ribosomal RNA (481 nucleotides) under uncultured bacterium. RNAcentral describes it as "partial 16S ribosomal RNA". It matches the Rfam family "Bacterial small subunit ribosomal RNA", at positions 28 to 507 of the family's 1533-position model. The record is from RNAcentral.
GAUGAACGCUGGCGGCGUGCUUAACACAUGCAAGUCGAACGAAGCACUUUAUUUGAUUUCCUUCGGGACUGAUUAUUUUGUGACUGAGUGGCGGACGGGUGAGUAACGCGUGGGUAACCUGCCUUGUACAGGGGGAUAACAGUUGGAAACGGCUGCUAAUACCGCAUAAGCGCACGGCAUCGCAUGAUGCAGUGUGAAAAACUCCGGUGGUAUAAGAUGGACCCGCGUUGGAUUAGCUAGUUGGUGAGGUAACGGCCCACCAAGGCGACGAUCCAUAGCCGACCUGAGAGGGUGACCGGCCACAGUGGGACUGAGACACGGCCCAAACUCCUACGGGAGGCAGCAGUGGGGAAUAUUGCACAAUGGGCGAAAGCCUGAUGCAGCGACGCCGCGUGAGCGAAGAAGUAUUUCGGGAUGUAAAGCCCUAUCAGCAGGGAAGAUAAUGACGGUACCUGACUAAGAAGCACCGGCUAAAUACGUG